GAUUUUUUUUCCGUAAGACAUUUUCCAAAAGCUCCCCCUUGGUCGCUCUUCAUACGUCCUGCAUAUUCCUUCUUCUUCAUCUGUCCAGGGCUGCUUUUUUCAUUCCCCCUUUGUGCCGUUCUUCAUCUUCUUGCUUCUUCUUCGUCAAGCCCAACACCCACCGACCACCACCAUCAUCGUUAACAACUCCGGUCACCACUGACCCAUCAUCGUUCACCAAUCACCAUUGUUGCUUCUUGACUGCCAACCCGAAGG
Gossypium arboreum is the source of this 255-nucleotide long non-coding RNA. RefSeq lists it as uncharacterized. The transcript has 3 exons. The record is from RefSeq and is a predicted model, not a curated record. Lineage: Eukaryota; Viridiplantae; Streptophyta; Magnoliopsida; Malvales; Malvaceae.